ACUUAUAUAGUUUUGAAAAACGGAGGCUUUUCAAGCCUCAAGCCUAGGUUAAACCCCUAGUACAAGUA
This 68-nucleotide transfer RNA is filed under the name Synallactes sp. Y30071. RNAcentral's name for it is "tRNA-Glu". It matches the Rfam family "tRNA". From Rfam's summary of the family: Transfer RNA (tRNA) molecules are approximately 80 nucleotides in length. Their secondary structure includes four short double-helical elements and three loops (D, anti-codon, and T loops). Further hydrogen bonds mediate the characteristic L-shaped molecular structure. tRNAs have two regions of fundamental functional importance: the anti-codon, which is responsible for specific mRNA codon recognition, and the 3' end, to which the tRNAs corresponding amino acid is attached (by aminoacyl-tRNA synthetases). tRNAs cope with the degeneracy of the genetic code in two manners: having more than one tRNA (with a specific anti-codon) for a particular amino acid; and 'wobble' base-pairing, i.e. permitting non-standard base-pairing at the 3rd anti-codon position. The record is from RNAcentral. Lineage: Eukaryota; Metazoa; Echinodermata; Holothuroidea; Aspidochirotida; Synallactidae.